CACAUUAACUGUAAAGUGUAACAAAGUCACAAUGCCAAUGGAUAUAUACAUAUUCCCUACUCUUGUUGAAAAUCUAUUGUGAAUCUAACACAAUUUCAAUGUUGAUACUUUAUUACAUUUUGUAUUCUAUACCUACUGAUACCAAAAUGGAUAUCACAAUACUGUCACGAAAUGUGAGUAAUAACUGCAGAAUAGCAUAUUGUAACAGCAGAACAUUCGUGUCCCAGUGGAUAUAGCGUUAAUUGGCGUUAAUCCAUCAAGUACUACCUAAAAGGAAUCUAACUCUGUGUAAACACUAAUCCUCCCCAACGGCACCAUUCCGGCGUCUAUAGCAUUCAGUCGUUUAUAAGUACCAGCCCGCCGUAGAUAUACAAGCCCCAGAACACAAAGGCCUCGCAGAUUUCACCACAUUUACCACUUUAUUAGGGGUGCAAGAUAUGCAAGAUAUGCAAGAUACAUGCAAAACUGGAGUCAGAAAAGUAAACCUAUUACUUCACGAAGUGGUUUGAUCUUCCACCAAGCACCACCGCCCACUUCAAGAUAUAUCUUCGAUCAGCUCUAUAACAGACUACUGGACUGUGGAUGUGUCAGACUAUAUAAUACAGAGUGUCCUAACUCAUCAGUCUGGGACAGAAUCCAGUGUUGCAGAGGCUGUGGCUAAAUGCUUGAAAUAUGCACCUGAUAGGAUUGGAGGAGGUGGACGGAAAGUCUCAAAUGAAGCAUCACCAGGUUCAUCUGACCAUCCUGGUCCCUGUUCAUCCGUGUCCAAGUCUGACCACUCUACGGCAACAAUCAAAAAGAGAAAGUUUGUACAUGAAGAGGUGUCACCUCCUUCAAGCAAUUCGUCUGGAACAACAAUGCUUUUACCACUGGAAAUUGAUGAAAUGUCAUCUGAGUCUUUGUUGGAAAAUGAAAGCUCUGAUGAGUGAUGAAUAUAUAUAUGUAUAGGGAAACUCAAUUUAGUUUCUGCAAGGUACAUGAACAGCCGGAGUAGAGAAGAGGGGGAUGAGAGGUCUCAUACUUCUAGAACCUUUAUUUUCUGCUCUGAUUGCGUCACCCUCCUUUUGUUGGAGGAAAUUGGCCGUAGCAUAUAGAUACUUAGUAAAGUAACCGAGUAGUAUAUCCACUUUGCUGCAACUGUAAUAUAUACUCCUGCAAAUACCUAUGCAUUAAAUAUCCAAAUGCAAAGUUAUGAUUUCAUAUUGGUCACUACAAACAUGCAUUAAUGUGUUGUAGCUUAACUUUUGUAUCCUAUGUACUUUGUACUAUGUACUUAGCUAACAUACAAGUCCAUGUAGUGAAAAACGCCUUUACAAGAUGUUUUAUGCAAAUGACAUGAAAGGUAAAGAUAAUAAUAAUAAUGUUGGUACACAUAUACAGACACUUUAUUUUUACCUACUGCAACUGUUUCUGUAACUUUCCCCAGUUUCAAAAUGAUGUUACCUACUCUGAGAAACCAUUGUUCAGUAAUGUUAAACUCAAAAUCAACUUAAAUUUUAGCUAAAGUCAAGUGUUUACAAGUUAUUCAUGUGUUCAGUAUGGGUGAUGUUUAAUGUGGUAUUGGAAUAGCCCUUUUAAUGUGUGUACUGAAAUGACGAUGAAAUACCUAUUGAUUUUCAGUAUGUAAACUAAGCUUAAUUGUGUACCAGUUGCACAUAACUAACUUUAUAGUCUAUCCAAUCUUGGUCCUCACUUUCUAAUGUGAUAGCUAAAAUAACUCAUAAAUGUUGAGUUGGUAGUAAUGAAAAUCUGUACAUUUCUUUUCCAGACUAUAUCUCACUACCAGAAACAAUGCAAAGACCUUUCCUGAGACAAAGUCCAUGGUUCUGGGUCAUGGUGAAGCAUAUGUCGGAUUUACAUUCAAUCUAAGCUCAAGAUCGAAUACAGACAGCAUGUGCUUCACCAAAGACUAUAGACUAGACUGUUUACUGAUGUUAGUAUAGUCUGGUGAACAAUUUUCACGACCUGGAGCAAUGCUGAAAAUCUAAUGUUGAUUCUACGUCGGGUGAGCAACGUCAGUUUUUCAACUGGAAUUCAACGGGAAUUCCAACAUUGAAAAACAGAGCAUGAUUCAACGUUGAAAACCAGAUGUCAGUUCAAUGUUGAAAUUCCACCAUUGAUUAUACGUUGGAAAUAUUACAUUAAAAAAACUUUCAAAAUCAAUCAAUUCUCAACGUAGAUUCUACGUAAGGGCCUGACGCAAAAUCAACGUUGAUGUGCCUGCUGGGAAAGUCAUCAUUAUCCUUGACGGUGAAGGCCUCAGUCAUCGUCAAAUAGCACAGCCGACUGGUGUGUCUGUCUCUAACGUAUGAAUGGGUCUGCAGACAACACGUGGCCACAGGCUCCACUAGUGACAGGCCUCAAAGCCUUGCAGCAGAUUUUUAACAGUGUAAUCACAGCAGGGGUGCAUAGACUCAUUAUUAAAUAGAUACCUAUCAUCCUCAUAUAUCGUAUAGCUAUGGUGCAGUAUGUGCUUUACGUAUUAAUUUUGGCAGAUAUUAUAAUUCUGUAUACUUUUACUGGCAAUGAAUAGGGACCAUUAAGAAACAUGAUCCCCGCUGCUACCACUGGGUUAACCCUUCAACUAACAUGCUGUAUGUAUCCCACCAUUGCCUGAGUGUAAUGGGGGAGGAAUGGGUACCUUGGGGAGGGCCUGGACCCCAUUAGAGUAAACCCCAUUGAUUCUACUGUUUGGCAAGUG
Long non-coding RNA from Eriocheir sinensis (Chinese mitten crab), 2701 nucleotides. RefSeq lists it as uncharacterized. The record is from RefSeq and is a predicted model, not a curated record. The transcript is spliced from 4 exons. Lineage: Eukaryota; Metazoa; Arthropoda; Malacostraca; Decapoda; Varunidae.